RNAcentral lists this ribosomal RNA (253 nucleotides) under uncultured bacterium. Its description in RNAcentral is "partial 16S ribosomal RNA". It matches the Rfam family "Bacterial small subunit ribosomal RNA", at positions 524 to 776 of the family's 1533-position model. The record is from RNAcentral.
CACGUAGGGCGCAAGCGUUGUCCGGAAUUAUUGGGCGUAAAGAGCUCGUAGGCGGUCUGUUGCGUCCGCUGUGAAAACUCGGGGCUUAACCCCGAGCCUGCAGUGGAUACGGGCAGACUAGAGGUAGGUAGGGGAGAAUGGAAUUCCCGGUGUAGCGGUGAAAUGCGCAGAUAUCAGGAGGAACACCGGUGGCGAAGGCGGUUCUCUGGGCAUUACCUGACGCUGAGGAGCGAAAGUGUGGGGAGCGAACAGG